UAGGGAAUCUUCCGCAAUGGGCGAAAGCCUGACGGAGCAACGCCGCGUGAGUGAUGAAGGUCUUCGGAUCGUAAAACUCUGUUAUUAGGGAAGAACAAAUGUGUAAGUAACUAUGCACGUCUUGACGGUACCUAAUCAGAAAGCCACGGCUAACUACGUGCCAGCAGCCGCGGUAAUACGUAGGUGGCAAGCGUUAUCCGGAAUUAUUGGGCGUAAAGCGCGCGUAGGCGGUUUUUUAAGUCUGAUGUGAAAGCCCACGGCUCAACCGUGGAGGGUAAUUGGAAACUGGAAAACUUGAGUGCAGAAGAGGAAAGUGGAAUUCCAUGUGUAGCGGUGAAAUGCGCGGAGAUAUGGAAGAACACCAGUGGCGAAGGCGACUUUCUGGUCUGUAACUGACGCUGAUGAGCGAAAGCGUGGGGAUCAAACAGG
This 429-nucleotide ribosomal RNA is filed under the name Actinomycetes bacterium. Its description in RNAcentral is "Actinobacteria bacterium partial 16S ribosomal RNA". It matches the Rfam family "Bacterial small subunit ribosomal RNA", at positions 355 to 776 of the family's 1533-position model. Lineage: Bacteria; Bacillati; Actinomycetota; Actinomycetes. The record is from RNAcentral.